ACAGAGGGGGCAAGCGUUGUUCGGAAUUACUGGGCGUAAAGGGCGCGUAGGCGGCCUGCUAAGUCGAACGUGAAAUCCCCGGGCUCAACCCGGGAACUGCGUCCGAUACUGGCAGGCUUGAAUCCGGGAGAGGGAUGUGGAAUUCCAGGUGUAGCAGUGAAAUGCGUAGAGAUCGGGAGGAACACCAGUGGCGAAGGCGACUGUCUGGGGAGCAACUGACGCUGAGGCGCGAAAGCUGGGGGAGCAAACGGGA
RNAcentral lists this ribosomal RNA (253 nucleotides) under uncultured prokaryote. RNAcentral describes it as "partial 16S ribosomal RNA". It matches the Rfam family "Bacterial small subunit ribosomal RNA", at positions 525 to 777 of the family's 1533-position model. The record is from RNAcentral.